GAAGGACCCUAACUUUGAAGAUCCGAAUGAGCCGGUGGCGGUUUGAGUACGAUCGGCGAUGGCGUAUUAGGUCAUUUCGAGUCUGAGAUUUGUAAAUAGUCGUCUUGGUGGACGGUAAUCCGUGGUUUUCCAUUUCAAUAAAAUCACGCAUCCUUUGUACAGCUUCUUGACAUUUCUUAAUUUCAAUGUCGAUCUUUGUUUCUUUUGUGUUGGAUCGUGCUUGAGGGAUGAAGAAAAAUGAAAAACAGAGGGA
Molecule: unclassified non-coding RNA, 253 nt
Filed under: Hevea brasiliensis (rubber tree)
Lineage: Eukaryota; Viridiplantae; Streptophyta; Magnoliopsida; Malpighiales; Euphorbiaceae
Source: RNAcentral